RNAcentral lists this ribosomal RNA (253 nucleotides) under uncultured bacterium. RNAcentral describes it as "partial 16S ribosomal RNA". It matches the Rfam family "Bacterial small subunit ribosomal RNA", at positions 524 to 776 of the family's 1533-position model. The record is from RNAcentral.
UACGUAGGGGGCUAGCGUUGUCCGGAAUCCUUGGGCGUAAAGAGCGUGUAGGCGGCCCGGUAAGUCCGCUGUAAAAGUCAAAGGCUCAACCUUUGAAUGUCAGUGGAUACUGCCGGGCUAGAGUCCGGAAGAGGCGAGUGGAACUCCUGGUGUAGCGGUGGAAUGCGCAGAUAUCAGGAAGAACCCCAACGGCGCAGGCAGCUCGCUAGGACGGUACUGACGCUGAGACGCGAAAGCGUGGGGAGCGAACAGG